AUGAAAACCUUUAUUAAAAUGAGCUGUUGGGACAAACCCUCAGCUAACUUUAGAUGAUACAAACCUUUAUUAAGAUGAGUUGCUAGGACAAGCCCUCAGCUAACUCUAGAUAUCAAACUGUAGACAUAAACAACUGAAAUAAAAAGAUAUAGGUUGUCCUCGAAAGAUGAAGACUCACCAUGCUAUUAAGCUGGCCAGAGAUCAUACGAACAUUGAGAUGGAUGCUGAACGUUUGAACCUCAUAUAUAUAAAUCUUCCAACUGUGCAAUGAUGCUUGCAAAGACCUGAUAACCUUGAGACAUGUCAACCAGUAGACAAUAUUCAUUGUCUGCAUGGUAUGUAUCCAUAAUUCCGUAACCAGUAGUUUGAACAUCAUAACCCCUAUCCUGAAGAUCUCUUAUCAAUGGCAAACUACCAGUUAUAGAAUAUGGUUCUACAUAUCCAACAACCUCUUCAGUAGCUUUGGCUAAUACUUUAUACCCUAACGAAUCGAGAUCGCAAGCAACGCCAGAAUAAGGUUCCUCGAAACUUAUACUCAUACUUCCCCUUAUGUUUUCAUCAGGGAGAACAUAUUUUGAAACAGGCCCUCGAGUAUCAAGUUUUUCGAUAUUAGCAUUCAAGUCAUCAACAUAUUCUUGUAGUUUCUUUAUAACAUCGGAUACAUUGUAAAAUGGAGUCAACCUAACAUCUCCAGCAAUAGUGCACUCACCAGGAAUUUGAUUGUUUCCACCCCCAGGAUAAAACCAUUGAGUUGGUUUCAUGGUGGAUGGUGCUUCAAAUUUGUAGAUCACUUCUUUUGGAUGGGGAGGGAAAUCUCUAUAGAAGCGGGUUUGAAUUUCUUUGAGUGCUUCCAUACCAAGUUCCAAAGCAUUGAUAGCCUUGUUGGGCAAACCACUGUGGAAACCCUUUCCAGUUACCACAAGUUCCCAUGGUAUAACACCACCAGUACCAAUACAUGGUUGUUUAUCAGCUGUGUCAAUCCAAAAUAGAGGACCUUCCUUUAAUUUAUCAAACCAACCAUCCUUAUCUAAUGCAUCCACACCAAUCCCCUGGAUAGAUGCAUUCUCUUCACUCGCUAUGAAAAUAGCAAUCACCGAUGAUUUUAAUUUUGGCUUCGUCUCUGCUAAUUUCUUCAUAAGCUCAGUAACAAGCGCCACAUGACCUAAACAAUCCGUAGUUCCACGUCCCCUAAGUUUAUCACCAUCCACACUCAAUGAAAACGGAUCAAACUCCCAUUGAUCAGGAUUUGCAGGCACAACAUCCAUAUGCAUUCCAACAAAAGACACAACUUUUUUUGGGUCCGUACCAGGAUACUCCACAAUAAGGUUACCCCUAUUAGGAGUAUAAGAAACAUGAUUGAUGAUCAAUGCUCCGCCAUUUUUGGUGCUAUAUGGAUUAAGGAUUUCAAGAACAUGGUUCACAAUCCUGUCUUCCUCCGGGAUAAGAUCCGGUGGGUUGUUCUGAACAUAUUUUGCUUCGCCGAUCAGUUUCUUCAAAAGAGUUACGAAUGAAUCCUUGUUUAGAUCACCCAAAAUUUGCUUUACAUCAGCCAUGCUAAUAGCAAGUGUUAAGCUCACACUUUUUUUCUUUUUUG
RNAcentral lists this unclassified non-coding RNA (1594 nucleotides) under Hevea brasiliensis (rubber tree). Lineage: Eukaryota; Viridiplantae; Streptophyta; Magnoliopsida; Malpighiales; Euphorbiaceae. The record is from RNAcentral.